AGAAGCAAGGUGAAGAUGAGUGUGACCUGCUAGUUUAAUAUUAGGCAAGGGAAGGAUGGCAAGAAAUGGCAUCAUGUGCGAAUGGAAAAGGACUAAAGAAGAAUGAGGAAAAAAAAAACUUUAGCAGAAAGGCUUUGCAGUCCAUUGGAUACUGUCUCUUUUUGCUGUGGAUAUUUCUGAAGAGAGGAAGUACAACAGGAGGGCUCAAAUCCAAGAGAAGAUUGAAGAGUUAGAAAGACAAAAGAAGGAAGUAUAGAAAAGGUCACUAGCUACACUGACACAUAGAGUUAGCCUCUCUUCCCAUUCCUGCUCCACCUGACAUUAGUACCAAAGAUCAGGAUACCUUCCAAAGAAGCCAAAGGCAUUACAGGGAUGCAAAAUUUGAAUACGAAGGAAGAAACUCAAGAGUGCCUGAUCCAAAUCCCACUGGACUAGUGCCAAACUUGUCCUUGACCAGAGUGAGGUUUUGUUGAGAUCCCAUGCUCUGAUUUUGGCAGUCAGGUUGGCCACCACAUCACAACCCACUUCAGUUUGAAACAGAUGUCUGGAAUAGCUGCACUCAGUGCAGUGCAGAGGGUUUUACAGUACAUGAAAGGGUGCCUGUAAAUGUGAGCUGAGCAAGAAGCCCUCUGUGCACAGCAUCCCAGGAACAGCAGCAAGUGUGUCAGUGACAGCACAGAAGAAAUUUUCCAUGACUGUGUUUGGAGCUCUCACAAGUCUAACAUAACCGUACCUGCAGAUUACAGUACUCAAGAAAUUUGAAGGCAAUAAAGAGGUCAUGCAAAUGGAAAGAUAUUUAAAGACUUCUGAAUAAGAUUUCUGUUUCUCCUUAACAGAUGAAUUAAACCAACUUUAGAGAAAGGUAGAAAGGCUUUGCCUGCAAGAAAAUUUUGCUUGUGACAAAUAAAUGAAUAAUGAGGAAAGCUUUGUUAGGUGAUUUGUUUGAUCUAUAGAGGUU
Cyanistes caeruleus (blue tit) is the source of this 958-nucleotide non-coding RNA. The record is from RefSeq and is a predicted model, not a curated record. NCBI's taxonomy places the organism in Eukaryota, Metazoa, Chordata, Aves, Passeriformes, Paridae.